GUCCUAGCCGUAAACGAUGGACACUAGGUGUCGGCUCCUUUCGGGGUCGGUGCCGUAGCCAACGCGUUAAGUGUCCCACCUGAGGAGUACGGCCGCAAGGUUGAAACUCAAAGGAAUUGACGGGGGCCAGCACAAGCGGUGGAACAUGUGGUUCAAUUCGAUGCUACGCGAAGAACCUUACCCAGGCUUGACAUGCAGGAUGUAGGAACCUGAAAGGGUGACGACUCGUAACCAAGCGAGAGUCUGCACAGGUGCUGCAUGGCUGUCGU
Molecule: ribosomal RNA, 269 nt
Filed under: uncultured bacterium
Lineage: Bacteria
Description: partial 16S ribosomal RNA
Rfam family: Bacterial small subunit ribosomal RNA
Source: RNAcentral